Molecule: ribosomal RNA, 579 nt
Filed under: Triticum aestivum (bread wheat)
Lineage: Eukaryota; Viridiplantae; Streptophyta; Magnoliopsida; Poales; Poaceae
Description: partial small subunit ribosomal RNA
Source: RNAcentral
AUGGACGCACGGAUGAGGCUGAUAAUUCAGGAAGCAGCACUGAUUAGUGUGAUUCAGGCAUGCGUCAUGUUCAUGCACCAGAGAGUUGUUCGUCGUGCUGGGAGACCUUUGUGUUGGGGAACGCAGUAAUUUAUCCGGGAACAGGAGAGGAUCCAAAAUCUGAACUACAUCUACAACUGCAAUGACGUCGAGGCUCUGUGGAUGCUUCGAAUGAAAAGAGCACCAUUUGCCAGGCUUGUCGAGACCUUCAGGAGCAGGGGGCUACUACAAGAUAACAUCAACACCAGUGUCGAAGAGCCCAUGUUCCUCCAUGUUGUUGGCCAUAACCAGAGGUUCAGGGUCAUUCACAACACGUGCAGGAGAUGAAUGGAGACCAUCUCUAAGUACUUCAAGCAGGUGCCUUUUGCUAUUGGGGAGCUUAGAGGAGAGAUGAUCAGGAGACCAUCUGGCCAGAAUCCACCCAAGAUUUGCAGAAGCCCAAGAUGGUAUCCAUACUUCAAGGUGAGCAUUGACAAUAUACACUUUUCAUGGCUUGAUAUGCUUGUAUUGUUCAAGUUGAGCACUAACACAGGAUUGUGA